Molecule: long non-coding RNA, 1320 nt
Filed under: Lathyrus oleraceus (garden pea)
Lineage: Eukaryota; Viridiplantae; Streptophyta; Magnoliopsida; Fabales; Fabaceae
Description: Pisum sativum (pea) long non-coding RNA (PSAT_LNC014804)
Source: RNAcentral
UUUAAGCUCUAACUAAAAUCAAUUAGUUCUAGAAUUCCUAAUACUCUUAUUAAUUCUAAAAAUGUUAAUCAAGAUUAAUAUUCUAAUUAACCUAAUUAAUCCUAACUAAACUAAAACCCUAAUUAAAAUAACAUUCUAACUAAUUAACCAAAAAGAAAGGAAAAACUGGAAAUGGGUCUGAAUUGGAGGUGCGCUCUCAGGCCCAACCGAAGGGUGUGUGAACAAUCCUGGCACAGACGCCCAUUGGGUCACCAACUCGUGGGGCAAGGGAUGGAAGAGGGGGUGUAGGCAGAAGAUUCCUUUGGGUCUGAAUCUUUAAUUGAAACCAGAACUGACCCAAAUCAACACCUAAUGUGACGCUGCAAACGAGCAUCUUCCUCCAUCGCUCGAAAGCGCGUUUACGCCGCCUCGGUUCAAAAUCUCAGAGCUUAUCCGUGAAUGAACAUGAACGUUCUUCACCAUACUGCCAAGAUUAUCCAUCCUUCUCCAUCUAUGCUCACCGAUUCUUACCUUUACAUUUCGAAAACAUCAGAAUCCAAAUCUUUUUUUACGCUCCAUUGUUAUUGCUCAAAUUUUCUUGUGCGCUUGUUGAUGAAGAAGGCUGCGUUAAUGACGAACGAUGGUGUUGCAAUGAUGAUGACGAAGAAAAGGCUUCUUUCUGCAAGCGACGACGCAUCUUUCUGGACGUUCAUGGCUUCCUCUUCUUUGAAAUAUGAAUCCUCAAGACCGCGAUUUCUCAUUAUUCAUUAACGGCUAGAGCUCAACAUAAACUAUCCAAUUCACAGCUUGCACGCACAGAAACAAUGAAGAACAGAAUCGAAGUCAAGAAUACUCACCAGAUUUAGAAUUCGGAUUAAAACCAGGUUUGAAGCGCUUUUUUUCUCCCCACUGAUUUCACUCCCUUCUUCUUCUUUGCUCUGAUAUGAUUUCUUCUCCUUCUAUUCACGAUCUCUGCUACGUUGAACCGAGAGUGAGAUUUACAGAACGAGGAUGAAGAUCUCUGAAGUGCAGAAGUGUAGUGUGAAGUAGAGUGAGGCUUCCGAUUCAGCCCCCUCAUAACAGAGAUAAUGAAAUGUUAUAUAGAGCAUGGGAAUCGUAACUGAAUCGGACACUAAACUUCGGGAAGGUCGUUACAAGCUGUUGGCAUGAGCCGGCAACCAGAUUUUAGGAACUAUAAUAGGAAUAUAUUUAUUAAUUGUCGAUUAUCAUGAUUUGGUUAUAAUUAUUCUAAUUUAGUUAUAAUUAGAAAUAGAUUUUCUGUGUAUAUAAAUAUAAUUUAUUCUCUCCUUAUAAUAUCCUUAUAAUAUACGAUUGAAAUAA